UACCAUUUGAAAAUCUGUCAAAAGCCAUGGGGUGUGUCUCCAGAAAGAUGAAUGUUCUCACAUAAAAAGAAAAUGUUUAUACACGAUUUCAUCAGGUUCAAUGGCUCCCUGAAGCUUAGUAACCCCAGGUUAGACAUUUCUGUUGUGAGGACAAAUAAACCAUAGGCCCACCUAGAACUACAGAGGUAAUGAAGAAAAUGUAGCUGAUCAAGGUCCCUGGGCCCUGGGAUACGAGUAUCUGUCCAGGUAAAAGGCAGGACAGAAUAUAUUUAAUUUUUAAUUAUUGAUGAGAGGUUGAAUAAUUGUCUUCCUCUUGAUUUAUGUCUCUACAGUAUUGCAUCAUUUUUUUUUUUUUUUAAGCUUUGGAUCUUAAAUCGAGAAAAAGGUCACCAUCAGAGCUUAGAAUUUAUAAGGCUAAUCACAGAGAAGCCGAUCAGAUCUUCUGAAGUCUGUGAAUGACACCAGGCUCAGGAGGUCAGUCCUAUUGGGUGACGAUGAUCGGAUUUCGUGAGAAUCCGACACAAAGGACUCAGAGGCAGAUCAAACCACCGAAAGCUCAGACUGUUAGACCACAGGGGUACCUUCCUGCGCGGCCUGCGGACACCGGCCGCACUUCGCCAGUCGGGCAGUGGCACAGCUUACGUGCAAGCGGCCCCAGCGCAUGUCUCAUAGAAUCAUGUCGGCAAGGCCAUCCCAACCUCUCUACUGAGCAGGCCCUACAGUCUCCGUGGCCUCGGGAAACAAGCUCCUACCCCACUCACUCGGGAGCGAACACCGGUGACCGGGGCUGCGCUGCGGACUUUUCUCCACGUUGACUUCGAGGAUUCAGCCCUUUUUCUGUCUCCUGUCCUGCUGCUGUUGAAGGCAGGGGUUGGCCAACUAUGGACUGUGGACUCGUCACUUAUUUCAUAAAGUUUCAUCGGACACAGCGUCGAAUGUUCGCGUGUUGCUCCUGCCUCUCUGCCCGGAGGACGGAGCCGAGUGGCUCUCCCAGCUCCUGACGUCGCAGCAGGACAACCCGCCACGGCUCUGCUGCAGAGAAGUUGGCCAGCUUUGCUCCUGGGCCGGUUUGUCCGCUGCCUCGAGCCUUCGGGAAUAAAAGAGCACAGAGAACUUAGGAACAAAGCCUUGGGUCGGAGAAGACGUUCAUGUCUUCUACUCCCCUUCACGGGUAGACACCGGCCACAUGGUCACUGUGCAUGUAGACCGUCUGGGAAACGCAGUCUCGGGCCAAGACGCCUGUUCCCAGCCACGACUCGACAUUAUGAGGGGUGGAGCACACGUGUUGGAGAACAGUCAUCGGUCUCUGCUACCAAACACCUAAUCAGAGCCUCGAAAGGAACCAUGGAAGUCAUGCUUAAUUAAUUAACUCCUAUUCAUCCAGGGUAUCCUAUGUUUCACCAAAUUUUGAGUUCUUAAAAAAGAGAAAUGAAUAAGACUCAAUCAAAUAAGUGAAACCACCAUAUACGGAUCUCUUUCAUUCUUGUUAUAUUCUUGUUACAGUCACCUGAAUAAUCACGGGGGCGGGGGGGAGGUGGUAACGACAGGAGGGGAGUGUGGGUUCUGUGUGGUUCUGGGUCAGUGCUUCCCUAGAUGUCAGCUGCUGGCUGUUCCUGGAUGAGGAGAUUGGAAAAUGAACGUGUUCACACUGCAAGAUUUGGGCAGAUACUCAGAAUUGGGGCUCACAGGGCACUGGGCCUGUAGAGCUGGGCUAACAGACCGGGCCAAAAGCUAACCUGAGGGCUGUGCUGGUGACCGGUGAAGACGGAAGAUGCCAACAAUAAUGUUGGCCUUAGCGGGUGAGCUGGCUAUGCUCCUUUUCUUUGAUUAAAUUCAAUGAAGUGUCUACUUUUUGCUUGGAGUGAGGACACUAAGUAAGAUAUCAUCUUUCCCUUUAAGGAACACAUGAUUUAAUAGAGGAGAUAAAACACAAAAAUAAGUAGUUUCAAUAAAAUAUGGUAAUUCUCUUGAGGAUGCCAUGCCCUGGUGCCUAAUUCCACUUACGGGAGUAGUUUGGGGUGUUAAGAAUGACUUCCUAG
RNAcentral lists this long non-coding RNA (2039 nucleotides) under Canis lupus familiaris (dog). Its description in RNAcentral is "lncRNA (ENSCAFG00845018582.1)". The record is from RNAcentral. Lineage: Eukaryota; Metazoa; Chordata; Mammalia; Carnivora; Canidae.